This 2999-nucleotide ribosomal RNA is filed under the name Anaerolineales bacterium. Its description in RNAcentral is "23S ribosomal RNA". It matches the Rfam family "Bacterial large subunit ribosomal RNA". Lineage: Bacteria; Bacillati; Chloroflexota; Anaerolineae; Anaerolineales. The record is from RNAcentral.
GUGUGAUUAAGCUACAAAGGGUGCACGGGGGAUGCCUUGGCGUCAAGAGCCGACGAAGGACGUGGUUGACUGCGAAAAGCUCCGGGGAACCGUCAGCAGGUGUUAUAGCCGGAGAUGUCCGAAUGGGGAAACCCAGUUGAGCUAAUCCUCAACUAUCCCUGGUUGAAUAAAAUAGGCCAGUGGAAGGGAACCGGGUGAACUGAAACAUCUAAGUAGCCCGAGGAAAAGAGAGUAUUCUGCUAGUAGUGGCGAGCGAACGCGGAAAAGCCCAAACUGCUGUACUUGUGCAGCGGGGUUGUAGGACCUGGCAACAAUUAUGAGUUUGUUAGCGGAAUUGUACUGGAAAGAUAGACCGUAGAGGGUGACAGUCCCGUACGCGAAAACGAACUGAUGAGGGCCGGGUAUCCUGAGUACCACGGGGCACGCUAAUCCUGUGGGAAACCGGGGAGUCCACUCCCCAAGGCUAAAUACUCUUGACGACCGAUAGUGAACAAGUACCGUGAGGGAAAGGUGAAAAGAACCGCGGUGAGCGGAGUGAAAUAGAAUCUGAAACCGUGUACCUACAAUCAGUCGGAGCCCAAUGUCUGUUUGGAAGCAGAAAGGGGUGACGGCGUGCCUUUUGGAGAAUGAGCCGACGAGUUACUUUCUGUGGCAAGGUUAAGGCAGCGACAGCCGGAGCCGUAGCGAAAGCGAGUCUGAAUAGGGCGGCAAGUCGCAGGGAGUAGACACGAAACCGGGUGAGCUAACCAUGGUCAGGUUGAAGCGAGAGUAAUGUCUCGUGGAGGACCGAACGGGUAUACGUUGUAAAGUGUUCCGAUGAACUGUGGUUAGGGGUGAAAUGCCAAACGAACUCGGAGAUAGCUUGUUCUCCCCGAAAUAGCUUUAGGGCUAGCCUCGUGUGUUUAAUCUGGGAGGUAGAGCACUGGAUUGGCUAGGGGGUCUCUGACUUACCAAACCAAACCAAACUCCGAAUGCCGAGAUUUGAGAGCACGGGAGUCGGACCGCGAAUGAUGAGAUCCGUGGUCGAGAGGGAAAGAGCCCAGAUCGUCAGCUAAGGUCCCCAAGUGAUGACUAAGUGGGAAAGGAUGUGAGACUACUGAGACAUCCAGGAGGUUGGCUUAGAAGCAGCCACCCUUUAAAGAGUGCGUAAUAGCUCACUGGCCUAGUGGUCUUGCGCCGAAAAUAUAACGGGGCUAAAGUCAUCCACCGAAGAGUUUGGUAGUAGGUAUGGAGUAGGUAGUAGGAGAAAAAGACCCCCUUACUACCUACUGCCUACUACUACUACCGAGCGGUAGGGGAGCGUUCUGUAGGAGAAAAGAAAACAGUGCUGACCGGAAGGACAGCUUGCGGCCUACAGAAGUGCGAAUGUCGGCAUGAGUAGCGAAAAACAUGUGAGAACCAUGUUCGCCGUAUGUCUAAGGUUUCCGACGGAAGGUUAAUCCGCGUCGGGUUAGUCGGGCCUAAGCCGAGGCUGAGAAGCGUAGGCGAUGGACAACAGGUUAAUAAUCCUGUACCGCCAAAUGGAGCGAUGGGGGGACGCAGGAGGGUAGACCAGCCGGGUGAUGGACGUCCCGGUGCUGAACCGGUAGGGUGAUGAGCCUCGUAGGGAAAUCCGCGGGGGGAACUUGAGCGGUUGUAAGCGGGCCGUAAGGCCAGAAGUGGUUAAGCCCCCACUGACAAGAAAAGCCUCUAAGCGAUGAAAUUUGGCGACCGUACCGCAAACCGACACAGGUAGACGGGUAGAAAAUACCAAGGCGAUCGGGGAAACUCUCGUUAAGGAACUAGGCAAAAUAGAUCCGUAACUUCGGGAGAAGGAUCGCCCUGGCCGGUGAAGUGAGAACUUAUGGAGCUGGCUGGGGUCGCAGAGAAAUGGCUCUAUCGACUGUUUAACAAAAACACAGGUCUGUGCCAACGCGUAAGCGGACGUAUACGGGCUGACGCCUGCCCAGUGCCGGAAGGUUAAGAGGAGGGGUGCAAGCUCCGAAUUGAAGCCCCGGUGAACGGCGGCCGUAACUAUAACGGUCCUAAGGUAGCGAAAUUCCUUGUCGGGUAAGUUCCGACCCGCACGAAAGGCGUAACGAGUGGAGCACUGUCUCAACGAGAGACCCGGUGAAAUUGAACUAUGCGUGAAGAUGCGCAUUACCCGCAGCAGGACAAAAAGACCCCGUGGAGCUUUACUGUAGCUUGAUAUUGAGUUAGGGCUUGACUUGUGUAGGAUAGCUGGGAGGCUGAGAAGCUGGUCCGCCAGGAUCGGUGGAGCCGCCGUUGAAAUACCAGCCUGGUCAAGUCUUGGCCCUAACGGUUAGCCGUGACCCGGCAACCAGACAGUGUCAGGUAGGCAGUUUGACUGGGGCGGUCGCCUCCUAAAGAGUAGCGGAGGCGCCCAAAGGUUCCCUCAGGCUGAAUGGAAACCAGCCGCAGAGUGCAAAGGCAUAAGGGAGCUUGACCGCAAGACCCACAAGUCGAGCAGAGACGAAAGUCGGGCUUAGUGAUCCCACGGUUCCGAGUGGAAGGGCCGUGGCUUACCGGAUAAAAAGCACCCUGGGGAUAACAGGGCUGGUCUCGCCCAAGAGUUCACAUCGACGGCGAGGCUCGGCACCUCGAUGUCGGCUCGUCGCAUCCUGGGGCUGGAGUAGUAGUCCGCGGUCGGGCUGUUCGCCCGUUAAAGCGGUACGCGAGCUGGGUUCAGACCGUCGUGAGACAGGUCGUCUCUCUCAUCCGUGGGCGCAGGUAAAUUGAGAGGGCUGUCCCUAGUACGAGAGGACUGGAUGGACCGACCGCUGGUGUGCCAGUUGUUCCGCCAGGAGCAGUGCUGGGUAGCUACGUCGGGCAGAGAUAACCGCUGAAAGCAUCUAAGUGGGAAACUUGCCUCAAGAUGAAUUUACCAUCCGGUUAAUCCGGGAGAGGCCGCUGGGAGACGACCAGUAGAUAGGUGGCGUGUGGAAGGGCAGCAAUGUCCGCAGCUAAGCCAUACUAAUGGCCGAAGGCUUAAUCUUUCU